Molecule: small nuclear RNA, 147 nt
Organism: Vulpes vulpes (red fox)
Lineage: Eukaryota; Metazoa; Chordata; Mammalia; Carnivora; Canidae
Gene: U12
Rfam family: U12 minor spliceosomal RNA
About the family: Although the U12 sequence is very divergent from that of U2, the two are functionally analogous.
Source: Ensembl
AUGCCUUAAACUAAUGAGUAAGGAAAAUAAUGCUUCAACGUCAUGCCCAAGUCCUCACUGUUAAUACUACACAAAUUUUUGAGGUCAACUUUUUCCCUAAGGUGACUUGCCUACUUUGCAAGAGGCCUGGGAGUCACCAUCUGCCUG